UGUUAUGGUAUUAGGACAUUUACUUAGUGAAAGUAAUUAAGUUAUCUUAGGUUACUUAGAUUUUUAAUUUAAAAAAGUUAAAAACGUAAUUAUGGAUACGUAAAUAUGCCGUCAAUGACGUCUUUUAAUUUUAUUAUCAUCAAUUUUAUUGCUGUAGCGUGGGUUAUGCUUCUCUUUAAAUAUCCAACGAAAUUUUGUGUGUGUAUUCAGUCUUGAUUGUAACGACACUCAAUACAUCAGCUCCUGCAGUAUAAAUAAUAAACCAUAAAAAAAUGUCCAAAUUACUCUUCUUCUUCAUUGCAAUGGUAGCCGUUAUUUCAAUGAUGGAAUUUGGUGCUGAAGGUUGCAAAGGAUAUUAUAAAUAUUGUGAAAUUAAUAGCGAUUGCUGUGAUGGAACACGUUGUGUUCACAAUUUCAUAGGAAAGUACUGCGCAAUAGGGCUAUUUGGUGCAAUCUAAAACCCAGUGUGUUACAAGUGUAUUAUUUUAACACACAUUAAAUGUAUUAUAUAUUAAGUUAAUAUUAUUAACUGUAUCGAUAUAUAAAAAUAAAAUAAAAGUACCGUACAA
Microplitis mediator is the source of this 569-nucleotide long non-coding RNA. RefSeq lists it as uncharacterized. NCBI's taxonomy places the organism in Eukaryota, Metazoa, Arthropoda, Insecta, Hymenoptera, Braconidae. The record is from RefSeq and is a predicted model, not a curated record. The transcript has 3 exons.